This 3724-nucleotide long non-coding RNA is filed under the name Equus caballus (horse). RNAcentral describes it as "lncRNA (ENSECAG00000053364.1)". Lineage: Eukaryota; Metazoa; Chordata; Mammalia; Perissodactyla; Equidae. The record is from RNAcentral.
UGAUGCAUAGGAAAACCACAUUCUUCCCUGUGAGACGGACAGGGCAUGCUCCGACACUGAGUCUCCCUGCCUCGGUGUUGCCUUCAUUUCCUAAGGCCUCGAGGAAGAAUGCUGUCAGCUGAGGGUUUUCACACACCCCACAGGAAGUCGCGUGCUGUAGGAUCUGUGCAGCUGGGUGGCUGCUGUUCCCAGGACAGGUCAGCGUUUUAGACAGAAUGUCCUGUCCAGUGCCUGGGAACGUGUUCAGUCAGGAAACUCUUGGUUCGGGUGACAAGAGCAACUAGUACCUCAUUCUGCUGAGAAAUGAGUUUGUCAGAGACAUGCAGUUGGGAAAACCCAUUCCUCCUCACAUCCACACACUCUUCGCUGCCCUUGUGUGAUCCAUGAAAGAGUGGGACCCAUGUGGGAGAAACCGAGAAACGGAAUGGUAGCUCUAUAACUUGAUGCACUCAUGGCGUAUUCAUAACCUAGUCACUGACAAGAUUUUAAGAGUGUUCCGUCCUUGAGUCAUCCAUGCUGUCGAGAAAAUGCAGGAUAGGCAAAUGUCUCCUAAGAGUCCAGGCCAGAAUUUCCCUUGUGUUGAACCACAGCCCCUUUUUAAAAAUGUAUGCUCUUAUUGCUCUGGCACAGUUCUCGAGAACGAGCUGCAGGUGCUUCUGCUGCCUUAUUUCUGUUGAAGCCCUUGUUCUUGUGAAGUGGGUGUAACAUAAGAGUGCUCAUCCUGGAAUCUGCCAGAAGUAAGGGCUCAUCGUGUAGGACCAAACUCUUAAGACAACGUUCCCCCAACAUCAGCUAUACAAGUUUAGCAUACUGUUAACCUAAAAAUAUGUUCUACAUAAAAACAGUUUUACAUAAAACUGAACAUGAAGCGUCUGCAUCAAAAUAAGUUUUAUAGUUGUAUGCACUAAAUAAUUCACCCAUUCAGUACAUGUUUAUGAAGUACUGUGCUUCGAGUUACUGUGUUACAUGCUGGGAUUAUUGCAAAAAGUGAAAGAAGAGGAUCUAAUUGUAGCUCAGAUUCCAAAAGGAAGUUCAUUAUAAGGAAGUAAAAAGACAGCGGCUUCCCCACAGCGUGGGGAGAACCCUGGGGGAUGCCAAGGAGAGGGCGGCCGGCCUCAGAGAGGAAUGGCAAGAGUCGUGUAGAUGAGUGGUUCCAAGCCUUGGACAUGGGUCGGUUCACCUAGAGGGCUUGUCAAACGCAGACUGCUUAGCCUUAUUGCCGGAGUUUCUGAUCCAAGAGUCAGAGGUGGGGCCAGAGAAUCUGCAUUUCCAACCAAUGUCCAAGUGGUGCUGAUGCUCUUGGUCUGGGGCCACGCUUGGAGAACCACUGUUCUAUAGAAAUUCAUGGUAAAAAUAGGAAGAUUAAGAACUCUGGAAAAUGCAUAAGGUCAGCACAGUAAUCUGAGCCAAGUUCCAACAUCACAUAGAGAAGCUCAGAGAACUCCCAGAGGAGAUGGUUCAGACCGGAGGGGAGAGAGGCUGUCUCUUGCCCACACCUCUUAAGCCUCAUUAGAAAGUCCCUUAAUGAAAAGGCAUCAGAGAUGGACACCUGAAUCUGUCACCAUCCUGUGGCUUAUUUUCCAUCUGUGCUUUCAUUGACGGAAUGUCUGUUUUGCUCUUGCAGUGUGAGAAAUACAAAAAGGGCUCCAAUGGAUCUUCUCACCCAGGGCAGCCAGGCCUGGGCCGCCCCCUUCCCUCCGGGUCAGUGAUGGGUUAGCAUUUCAGGGCCAAUAUAAGUUGCCGGGCACCUGGAAGACAACCGCACUGGCAAGAUUCUGUUUAAGAGUCCAGGGCCACUGGGGAAGUUUGGUGGAGAGGGACACAAGAGGGUUUUGUGUGGACUGCAUUGUGUCCCCCUAAAAUCAUCUGUUGAACCCCUAACCCCCAAUGUGACUGUACUUGGACACAAGGCCUUUUUAGGGGUAAUUACGGUUAAAGGAGGUCGUCAGGGCCGAGCCCUAAUCCAAUGGGAUGAGUGUCCUUCUAAGAAGAGGAAGAGACAUUGAGUGCCCACACCAACAAAAGGCCAUGUGAGGUCACAGUGAGAAGGUGACCGUCUGCAAGCCAAGGAGAGACCUCAGGAGCAAUCAUAUCUGCCAGUACUUUCAUCUUGGACUUCAGCCUCCAGACCUGUGAGAAAAUAAAUUUCUGCCGUGGAAGCCCCACCGUCUGUGGUCGUUCGUUGUGGCAGCCUGAGCAAGUAAUACAGGGUGCAACCAAGGCAAACUGUCAAUCAAAUAUGAGAGAUGGAACAAAUAAGAGACAUCUUCGGAAAGACAGAGACCUAAACUUUUUCUGCUCACGUACCCUUUCUGAGGAAAUUACUCAAGGGUAUGCUUCAAGAAAAUAAGGAAGGAAAACAAGAAAGAGAAGGAAAUGAAAUACAGAGAGCAAUUAGUAUAACCCACACAGGAGAAGGGCAGUGACCAGUGAAGAGAAGUCCCAGAAUGAGAACUGGCUGGCAGUCCUAGAUAGCAACCAGUCCAGGCCAGAGCAGGAAGUUGUGAUGGCCCACAAGGGGUGUGUCUAAGAAAAGUGGACUGUGUCAUAUAGGUGCUGUCAGGGAAAGCCUGGGUGACUUGGAAGGUAAGAUGAAGACAUCUUUCUUUCAAGGGACUUUAGGAUUCUAGGAAAAACAUUCUACUUGGGAAAACCAUGGUUAAAAUAUGAACCAUGGUUUCAGCAAUAAGAGCACAGAAAAGAGUCUGUUUGACCCAGAUACCAGAAAUACCCUCCUUUCAGUGGUAAAGAGCUCAUAACAUUUGACUGUAAAGGAGGAGAAGUAGUUCUUGCCAUGUUGGACUAGCAGAGGAUAACACUUGAGUUGGCAUAAUGUAAACACUGUAUUUUUUCAAAUUUCAGAAUCAACCCAUAGACAAUGCAUGGAAGACAACUAUAGUAACAGAACAGAAUUCAGACAUUAUUAGGUGUGAAAUUGUGAAAAAGAAAAAUUACAGAGGCACAAUUUGAGAGGUAGAAGAUGGAAAAGAGUGGUAAAGGGCAGUCAUCAUACUCCAGGAGGAAUUAACACACUGACUAAAUUUGAUGCAACCAAAAUAUUGAUGUUUACAUGUUGUUUAUUUCUCUUGUGCUGGUAGUUACAUGGGUAUAUAAUUUUGUCAAAACUCAUCAAAAUGUACAUUUAAAAUGUUACUUUUUAUUGUAUGUAAAUUAUACCUCACUAAAUUUGAUUUUUAAAAAUUAAUCAUUAAAUUUAAAAUGCAACCAAUAGAAGAAUAAAAAUCUACACUUCUGAAGAUCUGGGGAGAGGAAUCAGAAAUGAGGGGUAAAUUAGGCAAAGCAUUGUUUUUCUUUUUUUUUUUGUUUUUGAGAAAGAUUAGCCCUGAGCCAACUGCUGCCAAUUCUCCUGUUUUUGCUGAGGAAGACUGGCCCUGAGCUAACAUCUGUGUCCAUCUUUCUCUACUUUUUUUUAUAUGUGGGACGCCUAGCACAGCAUGGCUUUGCAAGCGGUGCCAUGUCCACACCUGGGAUCUGAACCAGCGAAUCCCGGGCCACCGAAGCAGAAGAUAUGAACUUAACUGCUGUGCCACCGGGCCAGUCCCAAAGCCUUGUUUUUCUUAACAAGGAGUUAAUAAAUAUUUAAGUAGAUAAAUAAAAAAGCACUUAAAAAAAUUAUGAAGUCUCUAUCAUUAAAACAGUGUGGCAUUUGUGCAUGAAUAAACAGACUAAUGAAAUAAAACAAAAUCCAUAGUGCCAAUUAUAU